This 501-nucleotide ribosomal RNA is filed under the name uncultured bacterium. Its description in RNAcentral is "partial 16S ribosomal RNA". It matches the Rfam family "Bacterial small subunit ribosomal RNA", at positions 899 to 1397 of the family's 1533-position model. The record is from RNAcentral.
ACUCAAAUGAAUUGACGGGGGCCCGCACAAGCGGUGGAGCAUGUGGUUCAAUUCGAAGCAACGCGCAGAACCUUACCAACCCUUGACAUGUCCAGUAUGGGUUUCAGAGAUGAGACCCUUCAGUUCGGCUGGCUGGAACACAGGUGCUGCAUGGCUGUCGUCAGCUCGUGUCGUGAGAUGUUGGGUUAAGUCCCGCAACGAGCGCAACCCUCGCCCUUAGUUGCCAUCAUUUAGUUGGGCACUCUAGGGGGACUGCCGGUGAUAAGCCGCGAGGAAGGUGGGGAUGACGUCAAGUCCUCAUGGCCCUUACGGGUUGGGCUACACACGUGCUACAAUGGCGGUGACAAUGGGAUGCAAAGGGGUGACCCUGUGCAAAUCUCAAAAAGCCGUCUCAGUUCGGACUGGGGUCUGCAACUCGACCCCACGAAGUCGGAAUCGCUAGUAAUCGUGGAUCAGCAUGCCACGGUGAAUACGUUCCCGGGCCUUGUACACACCGCCCGU